CCAGGAGCCACCCGGGCUUCAAGAAAUGGGGCGGGGGCGGCGGGAGCCCCGCGUCGGCCGGAGCUGGAAACCCUGCCGGGCCCCGGCCUCGGCUUCUCGCCCCCAUCUCCCAUUGCAUUUAGGUCUCUUUGGCCAUAACCCUCGCGGUCGCCGGGAGUGGGGUGGAGCCGGGGCUCCCGGGAGGUGAGGUGGGGUGCUGGCAGCGGGCGUUGGUUUCGGAGGACUCGUCUGGAAGCGGCAGAAUCUUGGGUUAAGAUGGCUGUGUGGAUGUCUUCUUCAAGUUCCAGAGCUGCAUUAUAUCUUUUAUCAGGAAGAGUCUCCUCUUUCACAUAGUUCUAUCCAUGGUUAUGGUUGUCCAGAUGGACUUGAAACGUCAUCUUGCACACACCUGACUGCAUGCAUACCUGCACCCAGGAGCUCUUAGAGCCAGCUGAGUCUGGAGAAUGGGCUCUUGGACUUCAGUCAGUCAGGUAAUUGUGGAAUGAAGAGUGUCUCGGCCGUGGAGUCAACUAAGUGAGGAAUUCUUAGCCAUGGGCAAUUGUGCCCCCCAGGCGACACUUGCCUGGGUCUGGACAUUUUCAUCAUUACAACUGGGGAAUGCUACUGGCCUCUGGUGUGUGGAGGCCGGGGAUGCUGCUUCACGUCUUUCAAUUCACAGGACGUUUCCCAGAGCAAGACUUACUGGACCCCAAAUGUC
Molecule: long non-coding RNA, 697 nt
Organism: Sciurus carolinensis (gray squirrel)
Lineage: Eukaryota; Metazoa; Chordata; Mammalia; Rodentia; Sciuridae
Exons: 3
Source: RefSeq, a predicted model, not a curated record